RNAcentral lists this signal recognition particle RNA (273 nucleotides) under Otolemur garnettii (small-eared galago). RNAcentral describes it as "Metazoan signal recognition particle RNA". It matches the Rfam family "Metazoan signal recognition particle RNA". Rfam says of the family: The signal recognition particle (SRP) is a universally conserved ribonucleoprotein. It is involved in the co-translational targeting of proteins to membranes. The eukaryotic SRP consists of a 300-nucleotide 7S RNA and six proteins: SRPs 72, 68, 54, 19, 14, and 9. The record is from Rfam by way of RNAcentral. Lineage: Eukaryota; Metazoa; Chordata; Mammalia; Primates; Galagidae.
GCUGGACACGGUGGCGCAGUAGCUCCAGUUACUCGAGAGGCUGAGACAGGAGGAUCACUUGAGUCCAGGAGUUCUGGGCUGUAGUGUUCUGUGCUGAUCAGGUAAAUUUGGCAUCAGUAUGGUGACCUCCCGGGAGUGGGGGCCACCAGGUUGCCUAAGGAGGGGUGAACUGGCCCAGGUCGGAAAUGGAGCAGGUGAAAACUCUCGUGCUGGCUCGACGCCUGUGGCUCAAGUGGCUAAGGCGCCAGCCAUAUACACCUAAGGCAGCGUGUU